AUUGAACGCUGGCGGCAGGCCUAACACAUGCAAGUCGAACGGCAGCACAGAAGAGCUUGCUCUUGGGGUGGCGAGUGGCGGACGGGUGAGUAAUGUCUGGGAAACUGCCCGAUGGAGGGGGAUAACUACUGGAAACGGUAGCUAAUACCGCAUAACGUCGCGAGACCAAAGAGGGGGACCUUCGGGCCUCGAACCAUCGGAGGUGCCAAGAUGGGAUUAGCUAGUAGGGGGGGUAAUGGCUCACCUAGGCGACGAUCCCUAGCUGGUCUGAGAGGAUGACCAGCCACACUGGAACUGAGACACGGUCCAGACUCCUACGGGAGGCAGCAGUGGGGAAUAUUGCACAAUGGGCGCAAGCCUGAUGCAGCCAUGCCGCGUGUAUGAAGAAGGCCUUCGGGUUGUAAAGUACUUUCAGCGGGGAGGAAGGCGGUGAGGUUAAUAACCUUGCCGAUUGACGUUACCCGCAGAAGAAGCACCGGCUAACUCCGUGCCAGCCGCCGCGGUAA
This 506-nucleotide ribosomal RNA is filed under the name uncultured bacterium. RNAcentral's name for it is "partial 16S ribosomal RNA". It matches the Rfam family "Bacterial small subunit ribosomal RNA", at positions 29 to 523 of the family's 1533-position model. The record is from RNAcentral.